AAUUGUUAGUACAAGGUGCUGUGUGGACUGUGUAAUAGAGAAGAGUCUGGAACAGAGAGGGCUAAGAGAAUAAAAGCCAGGACUCAAAACCGGGACCUCUGACUUCAAGACCUCCUCUACAAAAUGAAUAACUGAGAGCAGCCAGUCCAGUAAUAAGACUGCCCUCCAGCAAGGCAAAUGAAGAACAGGAUGAGCCAAGAACUAAAGUGACAACUUUUUCUCCCUGAACAAAAUCUGUCCAAAAUAGGCAAGUCUUUCAGCAUGGCAGGGAUUUACCAGAAUCGCUCUGGCAUCAUCCUCUGACUUGUUUUUCAGUCAUGUCUAACUCUUCCUGGAGUUUUUUUGGCAAAGACACUGGAGUGCUUGGCCAUUUUCUUCUCCAGCUCAUUUGACAGAUGAGGAAGCGGAGGCGAGCAGGGUGAAGUGACUUGCCCAGGGUCACGCUGUUAGUGUCCGAGGUCAGAUUUGAGCUCAAGUUUUCCCCAACAUCAGACCUGGAUAUUCUAUCCUUUGUGCCACCUACCUGUUCCUUUGACUUAAAGUUGUACAAAAAUGUUUGUCAUCUCCACAGCUUCUAGGGAACCACCAUCAUAUUCCAGAAAAAGUCUGUUCAAGCCUCAUUUUCCUGGAUGGCGGAGGAAGUUAGAAACCAACUCCACACUUUAGUAUGAGUAUUUAUUUCUUUCUCCUGGACAGAUACAUCCACAUUCAGGCAGCAAAGGUUCCCCCAUUUUGCUCCUUCAGGAGCCCCCCGAAAAUGUUCCAUUUACAUGCAUUAAAAAUAGGUAUUAGUGAAGGACACAGUGAGUCACUGAGAGUAGCUCCAACAGAAGAGCCCUCAGUUCGGUUGGCCAGGCUUGCCAAUGCUGGUUUUACCUGCCAUAAGCUAGCCAAUACUCCACCUUGCCAGUAUUGUUAUUUCAACAAAGGGAGCUUUUCCAAAACCACAAGGAGUCCCUCAAUCCCAAGCCAAAGCAGAGUUUUACUGCUGUUCUGGAUGGGGCUUGAGUGUGUGUUCUUUGGGUUGGCAGGAGACUGGAAGCACCAAAAACCCUAA
Molecule: long non-coding RNA, 1057 nt
Filed under: Monodelphis domestica (gray short-tailed opossum)
Lineage: Eukaryota; Metazoa; Chordata; Mammalia; Didelphimorphia; Didelphidae
Description: lncRNA (ENSMODG00000037643.1)
Source: RNAcentral